UAACAAGGUUUCCGUAGGUGAACCUGCGGAAGGAUCAUUAAUUAUGUUAAAGCGCCUUACCUUAGGGUUUCCUCUGGGGUAAGUGAUUGCUUCUACACUGUGAAAAUUUGGCUGAGAGACUCAGACUGGUCAUGGGUAGACCUAUCUGGGGUUUGAUCGAUGCCACUCCUGGUUUCAGGAGCACCCUUCAUAAUAAACCUAGAAAUUCAGUAUUAUAAAGUUUAAUAAAAAACAACUUUUAACAAUGGAUCUCUUGGUUCUCGCAUCGAUGAAGAACGUAGCAAAGUGCGAUAACUAGUGUGAAUUGCAUAUUCAGUGAAUCAUCGAGUCUUUGAACGCAGCUUGCACUCUAUGGUUUUUCUAUAGAGUACGCCUGCUUCAGUAUCAUCACAAACCCACACAUAACAUUUGUUUAUGUGGUGAUGGGUCGCAUCGCUGUUUUAUUACAGUGAGCACCUAAAAUGUGUGUGAUUUUCUGUCUGGCUUGCUAGGCAGGAAUAUUACGCUGGUCUCAGGAUCUUUUUUUUUGGUUCGCCCAGGAAGUAAAGUACAAGAGUAUAAUCCAGUAACUUUCAAACUAUGAUCUGAAGUCAGGUGGGAUUACCCGCUGAACUUAAGCAUAU
Molecule: ribosomal RNA, 623 nt
Filed under: Rhizopus arrhizus
Lineage: Eukaryota; Fungi; Mucoromycota; Mucoromycetes; Mucorales; Rhizopodaceae
Description: eukaryotic LSU rRNA
Rfam family: 5.8S ribosomal RNA (bases 234-387)
Source: RNAcentral